RNAcentral lists this ribosomal RNA (274 nucleotides) under uncultured bacterium. Its description in RNAcentral is "partial 16S ribosomal RNA". It matches the Rfam family "Bacterial small subunit ribosomal RNA", at positions 523 to 796 of the family's 1533-position model. The record is from RNAcentral.
AUACAGAGGGUGCGAGCGUUAAUCGGAAUUACUGGGCGUAAAGCGCACGUAGGUGGUUCAUUAAGUCAGAUGUGAAAGCCCCGGGCUCAACCUGGGAACUGCAUUUGAAACUGGUGAGCUAGAGUAUGGUAGAGGUAAGUGGAAUUCCAGGUGUAGCGGUGAAAUGCGUAGAUAUCUGGAGGAACAUCAGUGGCGAAGGCGACUUACUGGACCAAUACUGACACUGAGGUGCGAAAGCGUGGGGAGCAAACAGGAUUAGAAACCCGGGUAGUCC